GAUGAACGCUGGCGGCGUGCCUAAUACAUGCAAGUCGAGCGAACGGACGAGAAGCUUGCUUCGCUGAUGUUAGCGGCGGACGGGUGAGUAACACGUGGAUAACCUACCUAUAAGACUGGGAUAACUUCGGGAAACCGGAGCUAAUACCGGAUAAUAUUUUGAACCGCAUGGUUCAAAAGUGAAAGACGGUCUUGCUGUCACUUAUAGAUGGAUCCGAGCUGCAUUAGCUAGUUGGUAAGGUAACGGCUUACCAAGGCAACGAUGCAUAGCCGACCUGAGAGGGAGGUCCGCCACACUUGAACUGAGACACGGUCCCGACCCCUACGGGAGGCAGGCGUAGGGAAUCUUCCGCAAUGGGCGAAAGCCUGACGGAGCACCGCCGCGUGAGUGAUGAAGGUCCUCGGAUCGUAAAACUCUGUUAUUAGGGAAGAAAAUAUGUGUAAGUAACUGUGCACAUCUUGACGGUAACUAAUCAGAAAGCCACGGCUAAAUACGUG
This 497-nucleotide ribosomal RNA is filed under the name uncultured bacterium. RNAcentral's name for it is "partial 16S ribosomal RNA". It matches the Rfam family "Bacterial small subunit ribosomal RNA", at positions 28 to 507 of the family's 1533-position model. The record is from RNAcentral.